Cicer arietinum (chickpea) is the source of this 5896-nucleotide long non-coding RNA. RefSeq lists it as uncharacterized. The record is from RefSeq and is a predicted model, not a curated record. NCBI's taxonomy places the organism in Eukaryota, Viridiplantae, Streptophyta, Magnoliopsida, Fabales, Fabaceae.
CUAUCAAACCACAGAGUAAACGUGUUCUAUUGUUUGUUCUUGUUUUGUGUUUUACUCGUUUGUGAUGAUUUCGAUUUCUUCUAGCCCUAGUUCUUGUUUGUUCCGAUUUCUUGAUACUCGUUGCUCCGAUUACUUGCUUCUUGAUGGCUCGAUUUCAGGGUUUUCUAUUAAAGGAGAUUCUUAUGGAUUUGCCUAUUGAUAUACCAUUCCUUUUCAGAAUGUUGAUAUCAAGAAUUUCACAAUUCUCUUGACUCCCCUUUUACAAAUCGGUUAUCAAGAAUUAUUUAUAUAAUUUUUUGGAUAUAGUUCUUCAUAAUUUGAUUGAUAAUCGAGAUACGCGUUUAUCCGUUUUGCAGCGAUCUAAAGUCUGAGUACAAAGGAUAAGAACGGAGAACGCAUCCAGAUAGACAAAUCAAGUUUCUUCAAUAAGUCGUUCUUUUAUUUUUAGACGUUUUGCAAGACAUGGUCAUCAAUCAUCACCCCUGGUUGAAUUUACUGAAUUUAAUUUCUUCACUGAAUUGUAUUAUUUUCCUAUUAUGACUUUGAAUGUUUUGAUCUCCAUACAUGUGAAUUGAAACAUGAAUCUUUUUUUCUGCUGUUUAGGGUGUUUUGAAGUAAAAUAACGGUUUACUUUUGUACACUCUUCUUGGAUUGUGAAUUAUUUUCCUAUUAUGACUUUGAAUGUUUUGAUCUCCAUACAUGUGAAUUGAAACAUGAAUCUUUUUUCUGCUGUUUAGGGUGUUUUGAAGUAAAAUAACGGUUUACUUUUGUACACUCUUCUUGGAUUGUGAAUUAUUUUCAUUUCAUCUCUGAGUUUUUAUUGCUAAUGUUCUUGAUUUACUCCUCUAUGAUUUCCACUUGUGAAACUUUCGGCUUGGUGUUGGUGGUUUUGGAGAGAAUGGGACAGUGUGGUGAGCCUAUCUAAUUGGCGACUUGGUUUGGAGAAUUAUGCUAUUUGUCACCAACUAUUUGUCACAGUGGAACCAUUCUGAUUAUCUGUUCGCUGGGAAAACUUUGUUGGGAGAGGUUUCUGUUAUCAUCUUUUACUCAUUAGUUGUUUUUGUGGUUAUUUGUUGGGAGAGGUUUCUGUUAUCAUCUUUUACUCAUUAGUUGUUUUUGUGGUUAUUUGUGAUAUACAAUGAUACUCCUAAUAAGAUAUCCUCUGUUACAGUGGCCCUAGGAUUCAUCUGUGGUAAGAAUAAGCCAAAAUUGUGUCAUUUCAUAUGGAGUACAUGAUCUUGCAAUGGAAAUUUGUUCCAAUGAUUCAUAAGCUCUUGCAGGCUGUGUCGAAUACUUUUAGCUGUUGCUAGGUUUUAAUUCGGCCAUCUUUACUCAGAAUCUUCACAUUUCAUUAUUUGUUUGAUACUCGGCAUGCACUUUUGUCAGUUCAUUUGAGUUUUCUGUGUGGAAGUUACAGGGGAGAUAGCCUAUGAUUGUGUAGUUUGCUGUGGAACUCGUGGCAGGAAGAGGUUCAUUUCUCACACACUCUUAGGAUAAAAACGGUCAUUUUGUACUUACAUAUCUAAUAUAUUAUUGUUUUGGGAUAUUUGUACUUUGAUGGAGUGCCUUGCUGGUUUUGGAUUUUUUGUGUUGCUGUUUCAGCAAGAUUCUAGAGUGUUGAAGCAUACAAGAUUCUAGAGUGUACCUUUUUCCCUCACCGAGGAUGUGGAAUUAAGGAUAAGUUGGUUUGUCAUUUGUUUGUUCUGUUGAUUUGCCAUUUCCUUUGUAAUAUUUUUUUUUCUAUUUUCUUGUUAAUUGUGAUACUUAGGAGUAAGGUUAAGAAUAAUAGUAUCCUCUGUUACAGUGGCCCUAGGAUUCAUCUGUGGUAAGAAGAAGCCAAAAUUGUGUCAUUUCAUAUGGAGUACAUGAUCUUGCAAUGGAAAUUUGUUCCAAUGAUUCAUAAGCUCUUGCAGGCUGUGUCGAAUACUUUUAGCUGUUGCUAGGUUUUAAUUCGGCCAUCUUUACUAAGAAUCUUCACAUUUCAUUAUUUGUUUGAUACUCGGCAUGUACUUUUGUCAGUUCCUUUGAGUUUUCUGUGUGGAAGUUACAGGGGAGAUAGCCUAUGAUUGUGUAGUUUGCUGUGGAACUCGUGGCAGGAAGAGGUUCAUUUCUCACACACUCUUAGGAUAAAAACUGUCAUUUUGUACUUACAUAUUUAAUAUAUUAUUGUUUUGGGAUAUUUGUCCUUUGAUGGAGUGCCUUCCUGGUUUUGGAUUUUUUGUGUUGCUGUUUCAGCAAGAUUCUAGAGUGUUGAAGCAUACAAGAUUCUAGAGUUUACCUUUUUCCCUCACCGAGGAUGUGGAAUUAAGGAUAAGUUGGUUUGUCAAUUUUUUGUUCUGUUGAUUUGCCAUUUCCUUUGUAAUAUUUUUUUUCUAUUUUCUUGUUAAUUGUGAUACUUAAGAGUAAGGUUAAGAAUAAUAGUAUUAUCUGUUACAGUGGCCCUAGGAUUCAUCUGUGGUAAGAAGAAGCCAAAAUUGUGUCAUUUCAUAUGGAGUACAUGAUCUUGCAAUGGAAAUUUGUUCCAAUGAUUCAUAAGCUCUUGCAGGCUGUGUCGAAUACUUUUAGCUGUUGCUAGGUUUUAAUUCGGCCAUCUUUACUAAGAAUCUUCACAUUUCAUUAUUUGUUUGAUACUCGGCAUGUACUUUUGUCAGUUCCUUUGAGUUUUCUGUGUGGAAGUUACAGGGGAGAUAGCCUAUGAUUGUGUAGUUUGCUGUGGAACUCGUGGCAGGAAGAGGUUCAUUUCUCACACACUCUUAGGAUAAAAACGGUCAUUUUGUACUUACAUAUCUAAUAUAUUAUUGUUUUGGGAUAUUUGUCCUUUGAUGGAGUGCCUUGCUGGUUUUGGAUUUUUUGUGUUGCUGUUUCAGCAAGAUUCUAGAGUGUUGAAGCAUACAAGAUUCUAGAGUGUACCUUUUUCCCUCACCGAGGAUGUGGAAUUAAGGAUAAGUUGGUUUGUCAUUUUUUUGUUCUGUUGAUUUGCCAUUUCCUUUGUAAUAUUUUUUUGUUAAUUGUGAUACUUAGGAGAUAGGUUAAGAAUAAUAGUAUCCUCUGUUACAGUGGCCCUAGGAUUCAUCUGUGGUAAGAAGAAGCCAAAAUUGUGUCAUUUCAUAUGGAGUACAUGACCUUGCAAUGGAAAUUUGGUCCAAUGAUUCAUAAGCUCUUGCAGGCUGUGUCGAAUACUUUUAGCUGUUGCUAGGUUUUAAUUCGGCCAUCUUUACUAAGAAUCUUCACAUUUCAUUAUUUGUUUGAUACUCGGCAUGUACUUUUGUCAGUUCCUUUGAGUUUUCUGUGUGGAAGUUACAGGGGAGAUAGCCUAUGAUUGUGUAGUUUGCUGUGGAACUCGUGGCAGGAAGAGGUUCAUUUCUCACACACUCUUAGGAUAAAAACGGUCAUUUUGUACUUACAUAUCUAAUAUAUUAUUGUUUUGGGAUAUUUGCCCUUUGAUGGAGUGCCCUGCUGGUUUUGGAUUUUUUGUGUUGCUGUUUCAGCAAGAUUCUAGAGUGUUGAAGCAUACAAGAUUCUAGAGUGUACCUUUUUCCCUCACCGAGGAUGUGGAAUUAAGGAUAAGUUGGUUUGUCAUUUUUUUGUUCUGUUGAUUUGCCAUUUCCUUUGUAAUAUUUUUUUGUUAAUUGUGAUACUUAGGAGAUAGGUUAAGAAUAAUAGUAUCCUCUGUUACAGUGGCCCUAGGAUUCAUCUGUGGUAAGAAGAAGCCAAAAUUGUGUCAUUUCAUAUGGAGUACAUGACCUUGCAAUGGAAAUUUGGUCCAAUGAUUCAUAAGCUCUUGCAGGCUGUGUCGAAUACUUUUAGCUGUUGCUAGGUUUUAAUUCGGCCAUCUUUACUAAGAAUCUUCACAUUUCAUUAUUUGUUUGAUACUCGGCAUGUACUUUUGUCAGUUCCUUUGAGUUUUCUGUGUGGAAGUUACAGGGGAGAUAGCCUAUGAUUGUGUAGUUUGCUGCGGAACUCGUGGCCGGAAGAGCAAGAUUGUAGAGUGUUGAAGCAUACAAGAUUCUAGAGUGUACCUUUUUCCCUCACCGAGGAUGUGGAAUUAAGGAUAAGUUGGUUUGUCAUUUUUUUGUUCUGUUGUUUUUCCAUUUCCUUAGUAAUAUUUUUUUGGCUUAUUUGCAGUUUUGGUCCCCCUAUUUUAACUGAAUCGCGAAAGUAGUCCUCUCAUUUUGUUUCUCCUCAGUUUUGGUCCCCAAGCAGAAUUUUGGUACAAAACUUGAUAAAAUUUCAUUUUUUUUGCAUUUAUUUAAGUCACACAAUGCCUCAAGAUCUCAUUGCAACAAUUGUACCUGACAUAUAUGACCAUAAAUUGUGUACUACGGCUUUAAAAAAUAAAAUUUCAUCAAGUUUUUGACUAAAAUUAUGUUUGAGGGACCAAAACUGAGGAGAAAUAAAAUGGAGGGACUACUUUUACAAUUCAGCUAAAAUAGGGGAUCAAAACUGCAAUUAAGCCUAUUUUUUUUCUAUUUUCUUGUUAAUUGUGAUACUUAGGAGUAAGGUUAAGAAUAAUAGUAUCCUCUGUUACAGUGGCCCUAGGAUUCAUCUGUGGUAAGAAGAAGCCAAAAUUGUGUCAUUUCAUAUGGAGUACAUGAUCUUGCAAUGGAAAUUUGUUCCAAUGAAUCAUAAGCUCUUGCAGGCUGUGUCGAAUACUUUUAGCUGUUGCUAGGUUUUAAUUCGGCCAUCUUUACUAAGAAUCUUAACAUUUCAUUAUUUGUUUGAUACUCGGCAUGCACUUUUGUCAGUUCCUUUGAGUUUUCUGUGUGGAAGUUACAGGGGAGCUAGCCUAUGAUUGUGUAGUUUGCUGUGGAACUCGUGGCAGGAAGAGGUUCAUUUCUCACACACUCUUAGGAUAAAAACGGUCAUUUUGUACUUACAUAUCUAAUAUAUUAUUGUUUUGGGAUAUUUGUCCUUUGAUGGAGUGCCUUGCUGGUUUUGGAUUUUUUGUGUUGCUGUUUCAGCAAGAUUGUAGAGUGUUGAAGCAUACAAGAUUCUAGAGUGUACCUUUUUCCCUCACCGAGGAUGUGGAAUUAAGGAUAAGUUGGUUUGUCAUUUUAUUGUUCUGUUGUUUUUCCAUUUCCUUUGUAAUAUUUUUUUUUCUAUUUUCUUGUUAAUUGUGAUACUUAGGAGUAAGGUUAAGAAUAAUAGUAUCCUCUGUUACAGUGGCCCUAGGAUUCAUCUGUGGUAAGAAGAAGCCAAAAUUGUGUCAUUUCAUAUGGAGUACAUGAUCUUGCAAUGGAAAUUUGUUCCAAUGAUUCAUAAGCUCUUGCAGGCUGUGUCGAAUACUUUUAGCUGUUGCUAGGUUUUAAUUCGGCCAUCUUUACUAAGAAUCUUCACAUUUCAUUAUUUGUUUGAUACUCGGCAUGCACUUUUGUCAGUUCCUUUGAGUUUUCUGUGUGGAAGUUACAGGGGAGCUAGCCUAUGAUUGUGUAGUUUGGUGUGGAACUCGAGGCAGGAAGAGGUUCAUUUCUCACACACUCUUAGGAUAAAAACGGUCAUUUUGUACUUACAUAUCUAAUAUAUUAUUGUUUUGGGAUAUUUGUCCUUUGAUGGAGUGCCUUGCUGGUUUUGGAUUUUUUGUGUUGCUGUUUCAGCAAGAUUCUAGAGUGUUGAAGCAUACAAGAUUCUAGAAUGUACCUUUUUCCCUCACCGAGGAUGUGGAAUUAAGGAUAAGUUGGUUUGUCAUUUUUUUGUUCUGUUGAUUUGCCAUUUCCUUUGUAAUAUUUUUUUUCUAUUUUCUUGUUAAUUGUGAUACUUAGGAGUAACGUUAAGAAUAAUAGUAUCCUCUGUUACAGUGGCCCUAGGUUCAUCUGUGGUAAGAAGAAGCCAAAAUUGUGUCAUUUCAUAUGGAGUGCAUGAUCUUGCAAUGGAAAUUUGUUCCAAUGAUUCAUAAGCU